GCGAAAACUUUGCAAUAAGCGAAAGCUUGACAGGGCUAUCCCGAGUGCCAUCCGCUGAGGAAGGCUUUUACCCAGUCUAGAACGCUGGGGGAAUAAGGAGAGGGCAAGUCUGGUGUCAGCCGCCGCGGUAAUACCAGCUCUCCGAGUGGUGUGGAUGUUUAUUGGGCCUAAAGCAUCCGUAGCUGGCUAGGUUAGUCCCCUGUUAAAUCCACCGAAUUAAUCGCUGGAUUGCGGGGGAUACUACUUGGCUAGGGGACGAGAGAGGCAGACGGUAUUUCCGGGGUAGGGGUGAAAUCCUAUAAUCCCGGGAAGACCACCAGUGGCGAAGGCUGUCUGCUAGAACGCGCCCGACGGUGAGGGAUGAAAGCUGGGGGAGCGAACCGGAUUAGAUACCCGGGUAGUCCCAGCUGUAAACGAUGCAGGCUAGGUGUUUGGACGGCCACGUGCCGUUCUAGUGCCGCAGGGAAGCUGUUAAGUCUGCCGCCUGGGGAGUACGAUCGCAAGAUUGAAACU
RNAcentral lists this ribosomal RNA (513 nucleotides) under uncultured archaeon. Its description in RNAcentral is "bacterial SSU rRNA". It matches the Rfam family "Archaeal small subunit ribosomal RNA", at positions 341 to 856 of the family's 1478-position model. The record is from RNAcentral.